Molecule: small RNA, 149 nt
Filed under: Paenibacillus phocaeensis
Lineage: Bacteria; Bacillati; Bacillota; Bacilli; Caryophanales; Paenibacillaceae
Description: ydaO/yuaA leader
Rfam family: c-di-AMP riboswitch aptamer (ydaO/yuaA leader)
About the family: This family represents a conserved RNA structure found upstream of the ydaO and yuaA genes in Bacillus subtilis and related genes in other bacteria. The ydaO/yuaA element is thought to act as a genetic "off" switch for the ydaO and yuaA genes in its native state. It is believed that the element may be triggered during osmotic shock leading to activation of ydaO, a predicted amino acid transporter gene, and members of the yuaA-yubG operon which code for KtrA and KtrB K+ transporters.
Source: RNAcentral
AUCGGCCGAAUUUCGUUGAUGAAAACGGGGGAACCGUAUAUUUUGGGGUGAAUUUCACAGAGCUUCACACCGCCGGUGAGGAGUGCGGCGAAGCGUCUGCGAAUAGGGCAACUGGCAUGCCCGAAUCCGUCAGCUAACCUCGUAGGCCC